RNAcentral lists this ribosomal RNA (1021 nucleotides) under uncultured organism. RNAcentral describes it as "bacterial SSU rRNA". It matches the Rfam family "Bacterial small subunit ribosomal RNA", at positions 48 to 1111 of the family's 1533-position model. The record is from RNAcentral.
CUAACACAUGCAAGUCGAACNGGAAGUUUGGGUUUAGUGGCGCACGGGUGCGUAACACGUGGGAAUGUACCCCAGGGUAAGGAAUAAUGUCUGGAAACGGACACUAAUACCUUAUAAUGACUUCGGUCCAAAGAUUUAUCGCCCUGGGAUCAGCCCGCGCCUGAUUAGAUAGUUGGUGAGGUAACGGCUCACCAAGUCUACGAUCAGUAGGGGGUCUGAGAGGAUGAUCCCCCACACUGGUAUUGAGACACGGACCAGACUCCUACGGGAGGCAGCAGUGAGGAAUAUUGCGCAAUGGAGGAAACUCUGACGCAGCCAUGCCGCGUGAGUGAAGAAGGCCUUAGGGUUGUAAAGCUCUUUCAAUAGUGAAGAUUAUGACGGUAACUAUAGAAGAAGCCCCGGCUAAAUUCGUGCCAGCAGCCGCGGUAAUACGAAUGGGGCAAGCGUUGUUCGGAAUCACUGGGCUUAAAGCGUGCGCAGGCGGAAUCGAAAGUCAGAAGUGAAAUCCCGGAGCUCAACUCCGGAACUGCUUUUGAAACUCCGGUUCUAGAAUUCGAUAGAGGUAAGGAGAAUUCCUAGUGUAGAGGUGAAAUUCGCAGAUAUUAGGAGGAAUACCAGUGGCGUAGGCGCCUUACUGGAUCGAUAUUGACGCUCAUGUACGAAAGCGUGGGGAGCAAACAGGAUUAGAUACCCUGGUAGUCCACGCCGUAAACGAUGUGUGCUAGUUGUUGGAUGUUCAGCAUUCAGUGACGCAGAGAAAUCACUAAGCACACCGCCUGGGGAGUACGGCCGCAAGGCUAAAACUCAAAGGAAUUGACGGGGACCCCGCACAAGCGGUGGAGCAUGUUCUUUAAUUCGAAGCAACGCGAAGAACCUUACCCACACUUGACAUCCUUCUUGGGACUUUCAGAGAUGAUUGUCUUCGGUUCGCGCCGGGGAAGUGACAGGUGCUGCAUGGCUGUCGUCCGCUCGUGUCGUGAGAUGUCAGGUUAAGUCCUGCAACGAGCGCAACCCUUAUCGU